CCUACGGGAGGCAGCAGUGAGGAAUAUUGGUCAAUGGACGCAAGUCUGAACCAGCCAUGCCGCGUGCAGGAAGACGGCUCUAUGAGUUGUAAACUGUUUUUGUACGAGGGUAAAUGCAGAUACGUGUAUCCGUCUGCACGUCUCGUUCGUAUAAGGCUGGGCCAACUCCGUGCCAGCAGCCGCGGUAAUACGGAGGUUUCAAGCGUUAUCCGGAUUUAGUGGGUUUAAAGGGUGCGUAGGCGGUCGGAUAAGUUAGAGGUGAAAUCCCGAGGCUCAACUUCGGAAUUGCCUUGGAUACUGUUCGGCUAGAGAGUAGUAGCGGUAAGCGGAAUGUAUGGUGUAGCGGUGAAAUGCUUAGAGAUCAUACAGAACACCAAUUGCGAAGGCAGCUUACCGGGCUACUUCUGACGUUGAGGCACGAAAGCGUGGGGAGCAAACAGGAUUAGAUACCCGUGUAGUC
RNAcentral lists this ribosomal RNA (460 nucleotides) under uncultured bacterium. RNAcentral's name for it is "partial 16S ribosomal RNA". It matches the Rfam family "Bacterial small subunit ribosomal RNA", at positions 338 to 795 of the family's 1533-position model. The record is from RNAcentral.